RNAcentral lists this small RNA (456 nucleotides) under Aliiglaciecola lipolytica E3. RNAcentral's name for it is "cspA thermoregulator". It matches the Rfam family "cspA thermoregulator". The record is from Rfam by way of RNAcentral. Lineage: Bacteria; Pseudomonadati; Pseudomonadota; Gammaproteobacteria; Alteromonadales; Alteromonadaceae.
CACAAUCCUAAAGUAAGGUAUUCUGCGCCUAGCUAAGAAAACCUCGUUAAAGAUCUACAUGUUCGUUGUUAUAUCGUUGUUCUUCGUCCUGUCGUUUUUAAGUUCGGUCUCUUUUUAUGCUAAACCUGCCAAAUUUGGCACCCAAUUUAAUUUUUACAGGAAGAUAUAAUAUGUCUGAUAAAGUAGUAGGAACUGUUAAGUGGUUCAACGAAGAUAAAGGUUUUGGUUUCAUCGAGCAGCAAGGCGGUCCUGAUGUGUUCGCACAUUUCCGUUCAAUCGUUGGUGACGGCUUCAAGACUCUUAAAGAAGGUCAAAAAGUUGAAUUCACUAUCGGUCAAGGCCAAAAAGGUCCUCAAGCUGAAAACAUUCAAGUUAUCUAAUUCAAUUUAUCAUCAGACUUGUCUGGUGAAUUGAUAAGAAAACUAAGAAAGGCAAUCAUUUGAUUGCCUUUUUUGU